CAUGGAUAGUAGAUUGUAUGGAGCCUUGAGUGUCAGCAGGAGCCAAGCUGGAAGGCAGCUGUUAUGUAGGAAUAAAGCGGAGAGAGACCAUGAGUGGUGAAAGUCACAAGAAAAAUAUUCUGGGCUUUUCGGAAGAUCGAGAUGGUCCUAUUUUCUCAGAAAGACUCAACAUUGCUUGAGGAGCUACCCAGUCUCCAUCCCCAUCCAAUGACAUCUCUAUGGUCUCUUUGCAACAUGGCGGCCAGAAUGAUUCUCCAUGUAGGUAAGUCAGAUCAUCUCCCACUUCAAGCAGAGCUAAAGCCCUCAUAAUGUCCUACAAGGUCCUUCCCACAUGAUCUGCUUCCCUGCCUUCACCAGCCACAGUUGCUUCUUGGCCUCAUCUCCAACCACUCUCUCUCACUCCAAUCUUGUCACUGAAGCCGCAUUGGUGUUCUUCUAACAUACCAGGAACACUCCCACGUUAGGAGCUGGGCCCUUGCUAUUCCCUCUGAAAAGAGGCUACUCCCCAGAGGUCUGAAUGGCUUCCUCCUUGGCCUUCUUGAGGUCUUUGCUCAAAGGUGACUUCUGACGGGAAUCUUCCUUAACCACCAUUUCCAGCUCCCUUGCCAUGCACAGACUCCCACCCUACUUACCUGCCUUAUCUCUCUCCAUAGCACUUCCUAGAACCUGACACAUCAUAUAGUUGACUCAUUUGUUUGUCUACAUACAAGCUCCAGGAAAGUGAGAAUAUUUUUUUGUUUUGUCCACUGCUGCAUUCCUAGCAACUAGGACAGGGCCUCAC
This is a long non-coding RNA of Phacochoerus africanus (Common warthog), 781 nucleotides long. RefSeq lists it as uncharacterized. The transcript has 3 exons. Lineage: Eukaryota; Metazoa; Chordata; Mammalia; Artiodactyla; Suidae. The record is from RefSeq and is a predicted model, not a curated record.